This 1284-nucleotide ribosomal RNA is filed under the name uncultured bacterium. RNAcentral describes it as "bacterial SSU rRNA". It matches the Rfam family "Bacterial small subunit ribosomal RNA", at positions 67 to 1344 of the family's 1533-position model. The record is from RNAcentral.
GGGCAGCGGGGUAGUGCUUGCACUACUGCCGGCGACCGGCGCACGGGUGAGUAACACGUAUGGAACCUGCCCGCAGCAGGGGGAUAAGCGGAAGAAAUUCCGUCUAAUACCGCGUAACAACGUUGGGAGGCAUCUCCCGAUGUUUAAAGAUUUAUCGGCUGCGGAUGGCCAUGCGGCGCAUUAGCUAGUCGGCGGGGUAACGGCCCACCGAGGCGACGAUGCGUAGGGGUUCUGAGAGGAAGGUCCCCCACACUGGUACUGAGACACGGACCAGACUCCUACGGGAGGCAGCAGUGAGGAAUAUUGGUCAAUGGCCGAGAGGCUGAACCAGCCAAGUCGCGUGAGGGAAGACGGCCCUACGGGUUGUAAACCUCUUUUGUCGGGGAGCAAAGCGAACCACGUGUGGUUCAUUGAGAGUACCCGAAGAAAAAGCAUCGGCUAACUCCGUGCCAGCAGCCGCGGUAAUACGGAGGAUGCGAGCGUUAUCCGGAUUUAUUGGGUUUAAAGGGUGCGCAGGCGGAGGUGCAAGUCAGCGGUCAAAUUGCGGGGCUCAACCCCGUACUGCCGUUGAAACUGCAUCCCUUGAGUGCGCGAGAAGUAUGCGGAAUGCGUGGUGUAGCGGUGAAAUGCAUAGAUAUCACGCAGAACUCCGAUUGCGAAGGCAGCAUACCGGCGCGCAACUGACGCUCAUGCACGAAAGCGUGGGUAUCGAGCAGGAUUAGAUACCCUGGUAGUCCACGCAGUAAACGAUGAACACUAACUGUUCGGCCAGAAUGAUGGCUGAGUGGUACAGCGAAAGCGUUAAGUGUUCCACCUGGGGAGUACGCCGGCAACGGUGAAACUCAAAGGAAUUGACGGGGGCCCGCACAAGCGGAGGAACAUGUGGUUUAAUUCGAUGAUACGCGAGGAACCUUACCCGGGCUCAAACGACACAGGAAUACUUUUGAAAGGAGGUAGCCCUACGGGGUCUGUGUCGAGGUGCUGCAUGGUUGUCGUCAGCUCGUGCCGUGAGGUGUCGGCUUAAGUGCCAUAACGAGCGCAACCCCUAUCGCCAGUUACCAUCAAGUAAAGUUGGGGACUCUGGCGAGACUGCCGGCGCAAGCUGAGAGGAAGGCGGGGAUGACGUCAAAUCAGCACGGCCCUUACGUCCGGGGCGACACACGUGUUACAAUGGCAGGUACAGAGAGAAGCCAGGUGGCGACACCGCGCGGAACUCGAAAGCCUGUCUCAGUUCGGAUCGGAGUCUGCAACCCGACUCCGUGAAGCUGGAUUCGCUAGUAAUCG